RNAcentral lists this transfer RNA (63 nucleotides) under Taeniothrips tigris. RNAcentral's name for it is "tRNA-Tyr". The record is from RNAcentral. Lineage: Eukaryota; Metazoa; Arthropoda; Insecta; Thysanoptera; Thripidae.
AGUAAAAUAAUCUAAAUAAGAUGAUAAACUGUAAAUUUAUUUAUGAACUAAGUUCUUUUACUA